Lactuca sativa (garden lettuce) is the source of this 1279-nucleotide non-coding RNA. The record is from RefSeq and is a predicted model, not a curated record. NCBI's taxonomy places the organism in Eukaryota, Viridiplantae, Streptophyta, Magnoliopsida, Asterales, Asteraceae.
UUCCGAUGAUGAGGUCGACAACAUUGGUGAUAUCGAUACUCCUCCUCGGUUGUUUCUCCUUCUUUUUCUCUUAUGACCAAGAAAUCAAGUUCAACUGAGCUUUGGCAAUUUCUUUUAGGAUUGAUUCAAUCGAUUUAGAAGAGGUCACAACAGGUGGAGAUCAAAUACGGGCAAUAGAGGUCCAAACCUAAAUCGGGGAAGAUGCUGCAUCGACAGAGAGUCAAUUUAUUAUUUUUUCUUCACACCGAUUUAUGGAGAUGGAGACCCCGACGACGACCAUAUUCAAAGAUUGCAUUGGUUCUCGGCUACUUCCAUCAUUGAUUGAUCGGAUACGUGGUCAUUUGGUGGUUUGGGUGGGUUACAUAUGUGGUCUUUCUAUUUGUCACAGUUACCCAGUACCAAUGUCGCUAUGUCGCUGGUUGAAUUCUGGUUGAGAAUUGGACUUCUCAUACGUUCCCAUGUUGAUUUCCUUCUUUUUUUUUCCAUUUCUAAUAUUUUAAGGAACAUGGGACGACAUAAAAAGGGAGGCGAUCGGAUCUACAAGGAUAACUAAUUCCCCUUAAAUCUUCUAAGAAAACGAAGGAUGAAGAGAAAUCAGGAGAAAAGGAAUUGAAUUAUUUGUGUAAGGUUGCUAUUGUUCAAUCUGAAGUACCUUCUGGUAAGUUUUGUACUGAUUUUGAUUUCCAAAUCAUUAUGAUUUUUACUUUUAUUUUGCAGCAAGAUAGGAGUUUGCUUUUACAAGAUGCCAACUGAUCUGAAUGAGAAGAUCUUUGACCAAAACAUGGAUUUUACAUAUUGUUCUUAGCAAUAAAAUGUAGAUAGUAUAAUUCCUUCAUAUCAAGAAACUGUAGUUCAUAUAGCUAAAGGGGUUAAGCCACUUCCAGCUUGCCUGCCACCCAUUUGAUGGAAUGCCUAAACCAAAAAGAGCUCUAUUUUGUAUGUAAUUUCUGCAAAAGUAAGUGGUAAUAGCAGUAUGGGUGCUACUAAGUGGAAGCAUUCCAAAACAUGUUUGUGAAAUGAAAUUUUAUUUGUUAAAAUUAUUUAGGGCUAAUGUCAUAAAAACCCUAAGUUUUCAAGGUUUUGUCGGUUUUGCCCAAAGUUGAAUUUUAUGUCCGUUUUUACCCUAACAUUUUCCAAAAAAUGUUCGGUUUUACCAUUUUACCGGUGACAACAUGUUACCAUUAUAUUAACUUCGCAAAAAAACCCUUAAGUUUACAGUUUUUUUUUACGUUUUUACCCUUAAGUUUACAAUUUUUUAACACUUUUACCCUAUGUAUUU